Molecule: long non-coding RNA, 404 nt
Filed under: Sus scrofa (pig)
Lineage: Eukaryota; Metazoa; Chordata; Mammalia; Artiodactyla; Suidae
Description: lncRNA (ENSSSCG00070019894.1)
Source: RNAcentral
UGGUGGUGGGGUCCUUAGAUUUAAUGUAUAUCUAUUACGUGUUCUGUGCUCUGCCAGCCUUAUUGCAUUUGGCUGAUCUAACAUCUCUACAAGUCAAACACUUUCUUUCCCUUUCAUAGAUUGGGAAAUGGCCACUGGAGAGGUUACACAUUUCCUUCAAGGUCAAGGACUGGGACCAGAGGAACAGCACCAUAUCCAAGGAUCCCAAAGCAUCCUCAGAGACCACUUAGUCAAACUUUUCGACUGGCUGCUGAGAACUAAGAGCUAAGAGUUAGCAGACGGACCAGAAUGAAGACCCACAUGUCCGCAUCCCAGACCUGACAUCGCCCCGCUAAUCUCCCUCACUGUUGCUGCUGUCCGCAGCCUCCUCAGCCUUCUGCAUCGUUGUGUCCACAAGGAAGCAA